This is a long non-coding RNA of Lolium rigidum, 137 nucleotides long. RefSeq lists it as uncharacterized. The transcript is spliced from 3 exons. The record is from RefSeq and is a predicted model, not a curated record. NCBI's taxonomy places the organism in Eukaryota, Viridiplantae, Streptophyta, Magnoliopsida, Poales, Poaceae.
CUAUUGUUUCUAUAUAGUCCAUAACGUCUACUGAGAAAAAGCUAGACAUCAGCCAACCUCGGUGAAUGCACUUUGUUCGACAUAAAACAGGAGCAUAAAAGAGAGACAUGGUUGAGCUCACCAUGCUCUCUAGACGG